UACGAAGGGGGCUAGCGUUGCUCGGAAUUACUGGGCGUAAAGGGCUUGUAGGUGGCCAACUAAGUCAGACGUGAAAUCCCUCGGCUUAACCGGGGAACUGCGUCUGAUACUGGAUGGCUCGAGUGUGGGAGAGGGAUGCGGAAUUCCAGGUGUAGCGGUGAAAUGCGUAGAUAUCGCUUGGAACGCCGAAGGCGAAAGCAGGCUGCUGGGGACGCGCCGACGCUGAGACACGAAAGCCAGGGGAGCAAACGGG
Molecule: ribosomal RNA, 253 nt
Filed under: uncultured bacterium
Lineage: Bacteria
Description: partial 16S ribosomal RNA
Rfam family: Bacterial small subunit ribosomal RNA
Source: RNAcentral